CUCCCUGUGGCUUGUUGUAGGAGGUCACAGACAGGGUGUGACCACCAGAUGACCCUGGAGCUGGCCCGGGAGCCAUCAAGCGCCUCACCUCUCCCUCAACCUUCCAGUGCUGGUCCCGCCCACCGUGCCCACGGCCGGAGCUGUUUUCAAGGAUGCAGCCUGGAGAGACAAGAUGUUGAGACCAACCCAGUGGAGGCCUCUAGUAAGCGUCUGAGAGUCGGGCAGGCAGUGUGGAAAUCUACCUGUCUUGUGGCCACCCAAGGCAAGCCUCAAAUGUACGUUCCCUUGCUCAUGAAAGCCGCCAUCCACUGAUCAGGAGGGGCCCCCCUCUUUCUUUGGUCUCUCCCCGCCUUCAGUGGGGGGUGGGGAGUUUGCAAACCAGCCGUUGUCCUGCAAGUCACCCCGCCCCUGGGCCUUACUUUCCCCACCUUGUGGGGAAACUGUGGCUUCAGCCUCAGUUCCCUCAGCUUCUCGAUCGCAGACCUACAGUGCACCCACCUCUCGCCCCUUUCCCCCAUUUGUCUUCCAGGGUCUCAGGGCCACUGUGUCUUGCUUGGGUCAGUGUGCAACCUGCUCUUCGGGUCUGUGCUUCUGCAGUUCCUUCUGUCUCCUCUGUUUUCAUCCCCCUACCCCCACCCUGGAGCCCUUACUGGGUCUCAAGUUUCUCCGUCUCAAAACAAAAUCGACACCUGCCCUCAGUCCUGUGUCCUCCUUUGAACACCUCGGAUCUGCUUUCUCCACACCGUGAGCCCCUCACCAAGAGCCCUGCACACCUGCACCGGCCCCUUUCUUUCCCCAGGCAAGCCUCCGAGACCAGUGUGGCAGACUUCGCCAGGACAAAGUUGACCUGGGGCGGAACGCAAUGACUGACUGUCUAAGGCUUCGGUUUAUUUCAUACCUGUGCAACAUUUGACACUGGCCUCUCCUUGCUCCCUUACACCUUGCCGUCCCCUUGUUUCCAGGUUUCCCAUGAUCCUCCUUGGCCCCAGGACACUGUCACGUCUCUACCUCCAUCUCCUUGGCCGACUCCUCAGUCCCCUGCUCAUCCCUAAGUGCUGGUGUCCCAUGACCCCAUCUGUACUCUCCCGGUGUCACCUCUGCAUGCUCAGUUUCUCUGUGACUCCAGCUUCCAGCCCUGUGCUGACGACUCAGCAGUGGUGCCCCCAGCCAGCUCUAGACUCAUAAGUCUGAGCUCUAGACUCAUAAGUACUGCCUGCUAGAAAUUUCUCUCUGCAGGUCUGGCCGACUUCUCCAGAACAUGUCCAUAGGCAAGUUCAUCCUCCUUUCUGGACCCAUUCAUCUGCUCUGUCUUCAUUUUCAGGGACUGUGUCCUCCCAGUUACUCACACCAGUAGCUGGCGCUCAUCCCGGACCUCUCCCCCUCUCUCGCACACCCUCCCCUCCCCGUGCCCUGGGGACCUCAGCUCCUGAUCGUCUCUUCAAGCAGAGAGCCUCCUCUUCCCUGCUGCCACAGUUCCGACCCUCACCCCUUCUCAUGCAGACCAGGUGACAGCCUCAAACUGUCCCUGUAAGCCGGCUCUGCUCCCCUCCAAACACUUCUCCACCCCGUAACAGGUGUUCUUUAAUUCUUAUGAAACACGCAGAAAAGAACUGAGAAUAACAUAACCAACCCCGGUGUGUCAACCAGCUGGGCGGGGGGGUCUUUCUAAACCACUAAGCUGGUGACUUCUGUCCCUUGCCGGCCCCACCUUUCCGGGGUUUCUCAUUGCUUCCAGCAUACACUCGAGGCUGCUGAGUGUGGGAUUCCGGCCUGGGAAGUUUCAUUCUGUCUCAUGCAGCCUCUCCCGCCACUCUCCCCAUGCGGACUCAAUGCGCGGCCGCCGCAAACCAUUUCAGGUUCCUGGAAGACUGUGUUGUGUUGUCUAUGUGCUGUUCCUUCUGUUUGCGGUGCCCUCCCCACUCCGGUCUACUCGGUAAACCCUAGCCUAUUAUGUCACCUUCGGGCGGCCUCAGUCAUACACCCCUUCUCUGUCCCCACCUCCAAGGAGAACCGAUGAUUCCUUCCUGAAUAUCUUGCACGUGUAUAGCCCCAUCUCCCUAAAUUAGAGACUCCUUGAGGGCAAGGCUGUAUCUUUCACAUCUUUGGCGAUCAGUGUAGAGUCUAGUGACCUGAUACAUAGCUGGUGCUCGGGAAAUGUUUACUGCUCUGGCCCCUACCUUCCUAUCCCGUCUUGUAGUUGAGAAAUCUUUUCCCACUUACUUUCUCCCCAAACGCGUAUACAGACCCUGUCCCCCUCCUGUGCACAGCAUAUGUGUCCCCUAGACACCCUUUCCCUAGGCACCCUGGUCACCUUGUGGAACCUCUCCGUGGUCCCUGCUGGAGUGUAAGGUGCUGCGAGCCCCUCCGGACCACCGUGCGCAGUCUCUGCCUCCUGGGCACCUGAGCAUCAGGGCCAAGGCUCAAGGCAGGGGAGAAGUGUUUGCGAGCCUGCAAAGGAAGGAGUCAGGCUUGCUGAUUUCUACGUCCUCCAGCUCCCAAACUGUGUGAUUCGAGGUUCUGAAAACUGUGACAUAAUCUGGAAGUUUUCUCCCAGCAGAUGGUCAGAACAGUUGAAACACCGAUUCAGACAGUUGGCAGAUACGAAGGUAAACAGUGAAGACAGUGAGUCAGAAGGAAGGAUGUGAGAUGAGAAAGCGCCUACAGGAGGAGAUGACGUGAGGUGGGGGACGCAGGCACAUGUCUGCGACAGAGCGUUGGGUGGCUGGUGACCUGGGAUGUGUUGGGAUCGUCUGCUUCCAGACCUUGUGUUGACUGCAGUUCCAGAUGCCCGUCCUUCUCCCCCUGGUGACUCCUCGGUGGCUCUCAGCUCCCCACACUCUCCUGACUGCCCUCAUCGGUCGUCAGCCCCCUGAAGACGGGGGUGAUGGCCCUCGAGGCAUUGCGAGUUACAGUGGAAGCUGUUCCAAGAAAUUCUGAGGUCAAGAGCUGAACUUGUAGGGUCAGAAGAUAAAAAGCGUUUCAAGUCCUCAGAUCAGCAGCAUCCGAAAUCUGAACACACUAAUAAUAUCAUCCGUGGACACGACAGGUAUCUGCCGAGAACGCCGAAGCCGGGCCUGGGCUGUGGUGUCAGAUGCGUUUCUCACCGCCAAUUGCCUGCAAAGCGCGGAUACGGACGGCUGGCUUUGGGGGUCUUGCACACCGUGUCAAGCCCCAGGCCUCACCAGGUGGGGUGCUGGCCCCGAGCUCCGCAGGCUCACCUUCCCGCCGUGGCCGGGGCGAGGGGCGUGUGGGGCUUGGCAUACAGGACAUCCCCAGGGCUACUUUCUUUUUCAAUAAA
This is a long non-coding RNA of Lutra lutra (Eurasian river otter), 3298 nucleotides long. RefSeq lists it as uncharacterized. NCBI's taxonomy places the organism in Eukaryota, Metazoa, Chordata, Mammalia, Carnivora, Mustelidae. The record is from RefSeq and is a predicted model, not a curated record. The transcript is spliced from 5 exons.